RNAcentral lists this ribosomal RNA (253 nucleotides) under uncultured bacterium. RNAcentral describes it as "partial 16S ribosomal RNA". It matches the Rfam family "Bacterial small subunit ribosomal RNA", at positions 524 to 776 of the family's 1533-position model. The record is from RNAcentral.
UACGGGGGGGGCAAGCGUUGUUCGGAAUUACUGGGCGUAAAGGGCUCGUAGGUGGCCAACUAAGUCAGACGUGAAAUCCCUCGGCUUAACCGGGGAACUGCGUCUGAUACUGGAUGGCUUGAGUUCGGGAGAGGGAUGCGGAAUUCCAGGUGUAGCGGUGAAAUGCGUAGAUAUCUGGAGGAACACCGGUGGCGAAGGCGGCAUCCUGGACCGAGACUGACGCUGAGGAGCGAAAGCCAGGGGAGCAAACGAG